This 319-nucleotide ribosomal RNA is filed under the name uncultured Pseudomonadota bacterium. Its description in RNAcentral is "bacterial SSU rRNA". It matches the Rfam family "Bacterial small subunit ribosomal RNA", at positions 30 to 351 of the family's 1533-position model. Lineage: Bacteria; Pseudomonadati; Pseudomonadota. The record is from RNAcentral.
AUUGAACGCUGGCGGCAUGCCUUACACAUGCAAGUCGAACGGUAACAGGUCUUCGGAUGCUGACGAGUGGCGAACGGGUGAGUAAUACAUCGGAACGUGCCCGAUCGUGGGGGAUAACGGAGCGAAAGCUUUGCUAAUACCGCAUACGAUCUACGGAUGAAAGCAGGGGACCGCAAGGCCUUGCGCGGACGGAGCGGCCGAUGGCAGAUUAGGUAGUUGGUGGGAUAAAAGCUUACCAAGCCGACGAUCUGUAGCUGGUCUGAGAGGACGACCAGCCACACUGGGACUGAGACACGGCCCAGACUCCUACGGGAGGCUG